GAUGAAUGCUGGCGGCGUGCCUAAUACAUGCAAGUCGAGCGGUAAGGCCCUUCGGGGUACACGAGCGGCGGACGGCUGAGUAACGCGUGGGAACAUGCCCCAAAGUGAGGGAUAACGCACCGAAAGGUGUGCUAAUACCGCAUAUGGUCUUCGGAUUAAAGGAUUUAUCCGCUUUGGGAGUGGCCCGCGUACGAUUAGAUUGUUGGUGAGGUAACGGCUCACCAAGUCGACGAUCGUUAACUGGUCUGAGAGGAUGAUCAGUCAGACUGGAACUGAGACACGGUCCAGACUCCUACGGGAGGCAGCAGUAAGGAAUCUUCCACAAUGGGCGAAAGCCUGAUGGAGCAACGCCGCGUGCAGGAUGAAGGCCCUCGGGUCGUAAACUGCUUUAUGAGUGAAGAAUAUGACGGUAACUCAUGAAUAAGCACCGGCUAAACUACGUGCCAGCAGCCGCGGUAAU
Molecule: ribosomal RNA, 460 nt
Filed under: uncultured bacterium
Lineage: Bacteria
Description: bacterial SSU rRNA
Rfam family: Bacterial small subunit ribosomal RNA
Source: RNAcentral